RNAcentral lists this unclassified non-coding RNA (391 nucleotides) under soil metagenome. RNAcentral describes it as "partial contains 5.8S ribosomal RNA, internal transcribed spacer 2, and large subunit ribosomal RNA". The stretch from base 1 to 122 matches the Rfam family "5.8S ribosomal RNA", at positions 35 to 154 of the family's 154-position model. The record is from RNAcentral.
GAUGAAGAACGCAGCGAAAUGUGAUACUUGGUGUGAAUUGCAGAAUCCCGUGAACCAUCGAGUCUUUGAACGCAAGUUGCGCCCGAAGCCAUUAGGCCGAGGGCACGCCUGCCUGGGCGUCACACGUCGUUGCCCCCCCAUCUACUCCUUCGGGAUUGCGGGGGGCGGAUGAUGGCCUCCCGUGCGCCUCGUCGCGCGGUUGGCCUAAAUGCCAAGUCCUCGGCGACGCACGCCACGACAAUCGGUGGUUGCGAAACCUCGGUUGCCUGUCGUGUGCGGUCGUCGCGCAUCGAGGGCUCGAAAAAAUUGCCGGGCUUCGGCUCGACUUUCAACGCGACCCCAGGUCAGGCGGGGUUACCCGCUGAAUUUAAGCAUAUCAAUAAGCGGAGGA